Molecule: ribosomal RNA, 651 nt
Filed under: bacterium LB-2
Lineage: Bacteria
Description: bacterial SSU rRNA
Rfam family: Bacterial small subunit ribosomal RNA
Source: RNAcentral
UAGUCCUCGCUGUAAACGAUGUCGACUUGGAGGUUGUGCCCUUGAGGCGUGGCUUCCGGAGCUAACGCGUUAAGUCGACCGCCUGGGGAGUACGGCCGCAAGGUUAAAACUCAAAUGAAUUGACGGGGGCCCGCACAAGCGGUGGAGCAUGUGGUUUAAUUCGAUGCAACGCGAAGAACCUUACCUGGCCUUGACAUCCACGGAAUUUAGCAGAGAUGCUUUAGUGCCUUCGGGAACCGUGAGACAGGUGCUGCAUGGCUGUCGUCAGCUCGUGUUGUGAAAUGUUGGGUUAAGUCCCGCAACGAGCGCAACCCUUAUCCUUUGUUGCCAGCGAUUCGGUCGGGAACUCAAAGGAGACUGCCGGUGAUAAACCGGAGGAAGGUGGGGAUGACGUCAAGUCAUCAUGGCCCUUACGGCCAGGGCUACACACGUGCUACAAUGGCGCAUACAAAGAGAAGCGACCUCGCGAGAGCAAGCGGACCUCAUAAAGUGCGUCGUAGUCCGGAUCGGAGUCUGCAACUCGACUCCGUGAAGUCGGAAUCGCUAGUAAUCGUAGAUCAGAAUGCUACGGUGAAUACGUUCCCGGGCCUUGUACACACCGCCCGUCACACCAUGGGAGUGGGUUGCAAAAGAAGUAGGUAGCUUAACCUU